AUCCUCUGGUAGUUCAUGAGCAUGGUGAUUGGGUGUUUCACACACAUGUGAGAUGUGCCGUACUUGAAACUUGUUACCAUGUCUGCACAAUAAGCAUCUGACC
Small nucleolar RNA from Symphalangus syndactylus (siamang), 103 nucleotides. RefSeq annotates it as small nucleolar RNA U13. The record is from RefSeq and is a predicted model, not a curated record. Lineage: Eukaryota; Metazoa; Chordata; Mammalia; Primates; Hylobatidae.